RNAcentral lists this ribosomal RNA (256 nucleotides) under uncultured bacterium. RNAcentral describes it as "partial 16S ribosomal RNA". It matches the Rfam family "Bacterial small subunit ribosomal RNA", at positions 524 to 777 of the family's 1533-position model. The record is from RNAcentral.
UACAGAGGGUGCAAGCGUUAAUCGGAUUUACUGGGCGUAAAGCGCGCGUAGGCGGCUAAUUAAGUCAAAUGUGAAAUCCCCGAGCUUAACUUGGGAAUUGCAUUCGAUACUGGUUAGCUAGAGUGUGGGAGAGGAUGGUAGAAUUCCAGGUGUAGCGGUGAAAUGCGUAGAGAUCUGGAGGAAUACCGAUGGCGAAAGGCAGCCAUCUGGCCUAACACUGACGCUGAGGUGCGAAAGCAUGGGGGAGCAAACAGGG